RNAcentral lists this ribosomal RNA (228 nucleotides) under Prorocentrum minimum. RNAcentral describes it as "partial Bacterial small subunit ribosomal RNA". It matches the Rfam family "Bacterial small subunit ribosomal RNA", at positions 1184 to 1412 of the family's 1533-position model. The record is from RNAcentral. Lineage: Eukaryota; Dinophyceae; Prorocentrales; Prorocentraceae.
GUCAAAUCAUCAUGCCCUUUAUGCCCAGGGCUUCACACAUGCUACAAUGGUUAGUACAACGCGCGGCGAGCCUGUGAGGGUGAGCGAAUCUCGGAAAGCCGGUCUCAGUUCGGAUUGGGGUCUGCAACUCGACCCCAUGAAGUCGGAGUCGCUAGUAAUCGCAGAUCAGCAACGCUGCGGUGAAUACGUUCCCGGGGCUUGUACACACCCCGUCAAGUCAUGAAAGUU